This 353-nucleotide unclassified non-coding RNA is filed under the name soil metagenome. Its description in RNAcentral is "partial contains 5.8S ribosomal RNA, internal transcribed spacer 2, and large subunit ribosomal RNA". The stretch from base 1 to 120 matches the Rfam family "5.8S ribosomal RNA", at positions 35 to 154 of the family's 154-position model. The record is from RNAcentral.
GAUGAAGAACGCAGUGAAAUGCGAUAAGUAAUGUGAAUUGCAGAAUUCAGUGAAUCAUCGAAUCUUUGAACGCACAUUUCGCCCGCCAGUAUUCUGGCGGGCAUGCCUGUUCGAGCGUCAUUACAACCCUCAGGCCCCCGGGCCUGGCGUUGGGGAUCGGCGGAAGCCCCCUGCGGGCACAACGCCGUCCCCCAAAUACAGUGGCGGUCCCGCCGCAGCUUCCAUUGCGUAGUAGCUAACACCUCGCAACUGGAGAGCGGCGCGGCCACGCCGUAAAACACCCAACUUCUGAAUGUUGACCUCGAAUCAGGUAGGAAUACCCGCUGAACUUAAGCAUAUCAAUAAGCGGAGGA